CAAAAAGUCUUUUUACCAUAGCAUGGGCAAAGAUAAAGAAAAGAAGAGGAAAAGCGACUCUGGUUUUUCUUCCCUUCACUUGUUCCUAGGGAACAUGUUAUUCUUGCCGCGUUAAUGUCCAGCCAGAGAUAUCAGGUAACAAGAACUUGCUUCCAAGCUUCAGAGUACAGAAAAAGAACACUCUAAAAAGCAGCAAAACUCCAGUAUUUACAAUCCCUUCAAGAGACUUGGUUAAUAUUUAAAUAUUUAAAUGUUUACUUUGUUUAAACAUUCCUCUUUUAUCCAAUGAAUGUACACUUAAAAAUUAUUUUCUUUGAUAUCAAACAUGCUCAGCAAGGGAAACAAAAUGUAUACAAAAUAUAGGAAAGAAUUUCAAAAAGACCAAGCCCAGUAUGUUUAACAAUGCAUUCUUUUCCUCCCACAGUGCAUUUAAAAACAAAGCAAAACAAAACAAAAAGCUUGCCUCCAUACACAUUGAAUCACAAAGGAAAUAUAACACACUGAGUCGUUUCUGCUUUUGAUCCCAGUUCUUAGAGUCAAGAAAUCAGACUGCAGAAGAAAGCCUGCUCAAAUCACACAAGAGCAGCCCAUGUAUGACGACGCCCUUCUCUCUCCUUAGGCUCUUCUGCAAGGGUCACCUGUAACCCCUCCAGCCCAUCUAUCCGAUGGUGGCUGGAGAUGAGGGGUUGUGGAUGGCAACACUGGGCGACUCCAGCAUCUUCAUGGUGAGCUGCUGGGGAAAGGCACUUACGAAGAGAGCUCGGAUUGUGUCUGUGCUUGUGACUUCAUUCGGCAUCCGCAGCUGUUUGGUUUCGUCUCCAUACUGGAGGUAGAGAACACCUGCAUGCAAAGGAACACACAAUUAUCAG
RNAcentral lists this long non-coding RNA (869 nucleotides) under Mus caroli (Ryukyu mouse). RNAcentral's name for it is "predicted gene 13362 (MGP_CAROLIEiJ_G0003133.1)". Lineage: Eukaryota; Metazoa; Chordata; Mammalia; Rodentia; Muridae. The record is from RNAcentral.